RNAcentral lists this ribosomal RNA (647 nucleotides) under Microbacterium sp. RNAcentral describes it as "bacterial SSU rRNA". It matches the Rfam family "Bacterial small subunit ribosomal RNA", at positions 202 to 863 of the family's 1533-position model. The record is from RNAcentral. Lineage: Bacteria; Bacillati; Actinomycetota; Actinomycetes; Micrococcales; Microbacteriaceae.
AAAGAUUUUUCGGUUGGGGAUGGGCUCGCGGCUUAUCAGCUUGUUGGUGAGGUAAUGGAUCACCAAGGCGUCGACGGGUAGCCGGCCUGAGAGGGUGACCGGCCACACUGGGACUGAGACACGGCCCAGAGUCCUACGGGAGGCAGCAGUGGGGAAUAUUGCACAAUGGGCGGAAGCCUGAUGCAGCAACGCCGCGUGAGGGAUGACGGCCUUCGGGUUGUAAACCUCUUUUAGCAGGGAAGAAGCGAGAGUGACGGUACCUGCAGAAAAAGCACCGGCUAACUACGUGCCAGCAGCCGCGGUAAUACGUAGGGUGCAAGCGUUAUCCGGAAUUAUUGGGCGUAAAGAGCUCGUAGGCGGUCUGUCGCGUCUGCUGUGAAAUCCCGAGGCUCAACCUCGGGCUUGCAGUGGGUACGGGCAGACUAGAGUGCGGUAGGGGAGAUUGGAAUUCCUGGUGUAGCGGUGGAAUGCGCAGAUAUCAGGAGGAACACCGAUGGCGAAGGCAGAUCUCUGGGCCGUAACUGACGCUGAGGAGCGAAAGCGUGGGGAGCAAACAGGCUUAGAUACCCUGGUAGUCCACCCCGUAAACGUUGGGAACUAGUUGUGGGGUCCUUUCCACGGAUUCCGUGACGCAGCUAACGCAUUAA